Cinara cedri is the source of this 1335-nucleotide non-coding RNA. The record is from the annotation of a GenBank genome assembly. NCBI's taxonomy places the organism in Eukaryota, Metazoa, Arthropoda, Insecta, Hemiptera, Aphididae.
CGCAACUCCCACCGUCUUGUAUGGAACGCGCGUUACGGCGCAGUUUCUCCCUCCACGUCGUUUCCGUUACGUCAUAUUGCAACUUUGGUCUCGUUAUCUUGUUUACGUACAACAACUGCAAGGUUUAUAAAAAAACAACAUAUUUAAUAUAAAACACAACAGUUUUAUAAAAAUUGUGUUGCAAAUUUGUUGCGAGACUUUUGGCCACCUUUGGGGAAUAACUUAACCGCGUUACGCGAUAAUGAGAUAUUUAAGGAGUAUAUCUUUGUGGGACAGCCUGUAUUAUCAGCCUAAAAAAAAAAUUAAUAAUAAUUUAAUAAUCUUAAGUCAUUAUUUUCUACAAAUUAAAUAUAAAUAAAUAUAGGCGAAAAAACCAAUCUAUUUGGAAACCACAUUUUUUCCAAAGAUAUUCAGACGUAAACCCAAAUAUAUCAUACCUAUACCCAAAACGUACAAACCUUCUUUAGCAAACUCACAUUUACAAUUCAACGCUUAAUCUAUCUUACAAUCCUCCAAUAUAGUAAUUCUCAACUAUUAUUUUAAUCUUCAAACCAGCAAAACCAAAACAUCUAGUGUCUUCAUGUUGUCCAGUUAGCCUAAUAACGUUUAUCAUCAACGAAAAUAAAAUCUUACCUAAUAACCAAUCCGAUUUCCGCUCGAAUUCACAAAUUCAUAGAGUUAUUGACAGACUAUCAUUAUCAUUCGAAAAUAAAAACAUUUUCAAGGUUCUUUUCUCAAUAUCACACAAACUUCGUUCUUAAAAUCCUAAAAUCUUUUCAAAACUAUUCAAUAUUUUCUCACUCUAAAAUUAUUUCUUAAAGACAAAUUUUUAACAGUCAUCAUAUUAAUUAUAACUUCCUUCACACUAAAAAUCAAUGCUAUAAUAUACCAAGGAAUUGGCCUUUCACCUAUCAUUUGUAAUAUUUAUAUACAUUCCCUAAAAUAUGCCGUACAACUUUAGUAGCAUAUACCGAUAAUAAAGCUAUACUAGCAUCAAAUAAAUAUUCAAACAUAAAUGGUUCCGAUAUACAAUACUACUUUAACGUAAUUUCAAAUUGGACUCAUAAAUAGAAAAAUAAAAUAAAUGAAAACAAAUCAGUUUAAGUAAAUUUUGCUCUAGUCAAAAUGAAUGCCCUCAAUUUUCUCUCUAUAACAUACUUAUGCCAAAUAGAAUGUAACUAAAUACUUAAGAGUUCUUUUUUUGAUAAACGGUUAAAUUAGGCCCAACACACCAAAUAUAAAAGGAAACAAUCAAACACUCACCUAAACCUCAUCCGCAUUUUAUUAUAUACAAAACAAUUAUUAAUCCCUCCUCACUCUCUGCGUAUUAAUGGC